RNAcentral lists this ribosomal RNA (105 nucleotides) under uncultured bacterium. RNAcentral describes it as "partial 16S ribosomal RNA". It matches the Rfam family "Bacterial small subunit ribosomal RNA", at positions 1378 to 1482 of the family's 1533-position model. The record is from RNAcentral.
CCGUUGUACACACCGCCCGUCACACCAUGGGAGUGGGUUGCACCAGAAGUAGCUAGUCUAACCUUCGGGGGGACGGUUACCACGGUGUGAUUCAUGACUGGGGUG